This 497-nucleotide ribosomal RNA is filed under the name uncultured bacterium. RNAcentral describes it as "partial 16S ribosomal RNA". It matches the Rfam family "Bacterial small subunit ribosomal RNA", at positions 28 to 507 of the family's 1533-position model. The record is from RNAcentral.
GAUGAACGCUGGCGGCGUGCCUAAUACAUGCAAGUCGAGCGAACGGACGAGAAGCUUGCUUUUCUGAUGUUAGCGGCGGACGGGUGAGUAACACGUGGAUAACCUACCUAUAAGACUGGGAUAACUUCGGGAAACCGGAGCUAAUACCGGAUAAUAUUUUGAACCGCAUGGUUCAAAAGUGAAAGACGGUCUUGCUGUCACUUAUAGAUGGAUCCGCGCUGCAUUAGCUAGUUGGUAAGGUAACGGCUUACCAAGGCAACGAUGCAUAGCCGACCUGAGAGGGUGAUCGGCCACACUGGAACUGAGACACGGUCCAGACUCCUACGGGAGGCAGCAGUAGGGAAUCUUCCGCAAUGGGCGAAAGCCUGACGGAGCAACGCCGCGUGAGUGGUGAAGGUCUUCGGAUCGUAAAACUCUGUUAUUAGGGAAGAACAUAUGUGUAAGUAACUGUGCACAUCCUGACGGUACCUAAUCAGAAAGCCACGGCUAACUACGUG